This 269-nucleotide unclassified non-coding RNA is filed under the name Hevea brasiliensis (rubber tree). The record is from RNAcentral. Lineage: Eukaryota; Viridiplantae; Streptophyta; Magnoliopsida; Malpighiales; Euphorbiaceae.
CCUCUGGGAAUACAGGUUCCAUGUAUAGUAUUUCAUUUUCCAGUAAUACUUUACCGCAUAAUUGAAGUGGUUCCCAUACCAAAUGUCAGGGACUCUUGCAGCCAUAUUAGGAGGUGCUGCAGGAGCCGUGGCAUUGGUGGGGGUAGUUAUCUUUCUUAUAUUAUGGUUCUGUCUAUCUCAUAAGAAGAGUGUUUCAAGAACUUCUGAGACAGGGUCUUCGGAACCAUCUCAAGGAGAAAGGCAUGUUGGGGUUGAGUUGUCCAUGCGAG